Molecule: non-coding RNA, 625 nt
Organism: Python bivittatus (Burmese python)
Lineage: Eukaryota; Metazoa; Chordata; Lepidosauria; Squamata; Pythonidae
Source: RefSeq, a predicted model, not a curated record
CCACUUCUUCGACUGACUGCCCGUCUAUCGCAUCAGAUGCCUUUCUCUUCUUGCACAAUACGAGAGUCGUACCGCUUGGUACUGCCGUUCCUCCGUCCGGCAACCUGGGCAGACCCUGCUCUCUGGAGAGGAAGCAAGACCAAAGCAGCGCCCUGUUCCCCGGGCACCUCUCUGGACUUUGAACUAACUGCCCUGCUGGCAGCCACCGAGUGAGGUGUGGACCUUCGAAACUUGCAGAGGCAUUUUCUCCGGCUAACAGCGCAAGACAAGCCAGUAAACCACCUCCAGGGUUCACGGAAAGGUUGCUUCGAAAGAGGAACCGAAACCAUCUCAAUGGACACCUGGACCAGGGAAGAAGAGGAACCUCCCUUCAAAGGGCUGCCCCCCUUACCUAAAGUGUUUUGGGGGGCCCAUCCAUCUCAGGAACUUCUACCUGGGGUGGCAGAACAGGAAGAGACCAAGCCACUGGAGGGGAACUGCACCAGCCUCCAUGGAAAAAUCUCCUGGGUCCAGAAUGAAAUGCUGAGUCUGCGAAGGACUGACCUGGCGCUUUUUCAUCGGCUCUACCUCCUGGCCCUAGAGAUCCAGGACCUCAGUGAGUUACACCAGGAGAUGGAAACCUUCU